UGGGGAAUAUUGGACAAUGGGCGCAAGCCUGACCCAGCCAUGCCGCGUGUGUGAAGAAGGCCUUUUGGUUGUAAAGCACUUUAAGCGAGGAGGAGGCUACUUGGAUUAAUACUCUAGGAUAGUGGACGUUACUCGCAGAAUAAGCACCGGCUAACUCUGUGCCAGCAGCCGCGGUAAUACAGAGGGUGCGAGCGUUAAUCGGAUUUACUGGGCGUAAAGCGUGCGUAGGCGGCUUCUUAAGUCGGAUGUGAAAUCCCUGAGCUUAACUUAGGAAUUGCAUUUGAUACUGGGAAGCUAGAGUAUGGGAGAGGAUGGUAGAAUUCCAGGUGUAGCGGUGAAAUGCGUAGAGAUCUGGAGGAAUACCGAUGGCGAAGGCAUCCAUCUGGCCUAAUACUGACGCUGAGGUACGAAAGCAUGGGGAGCAAACAGG
RNAcentral lists this ribosomal RNA (430 nucleotides) under Acidobacteriota bacterium. RNAcentral describes it as "Acidobacteria bacterium partial 16S ribosomal RNA". It matches the Rfam family "Bacterial small subunit ribosomal RNA", at positions 355 to 776 of the family's 1533-position model. The record is from RNAcentral. Lineage: Bacteria; Pseudomonadati; Acidobacteriota.